GGGGAAUCAAAUGAUUACAUCAAGCCGUCCCAAACUGAUGAAGAACUUGCUUAUGACCGUGAUAUUGAAGAAGUUGAGGAUAGUUGUGGUAGAAUACCUGUUGGAAAAGCGUAUGACGUUGUCCCUGAACAUAAAGAGUUGGAUGAGAACCUCAUCUCUGGGAUGCAAGAACUUAAAGAGCUGGAUGUGAACCUCAUUUCUGGGAUUCGAUUGUUGAACGGAAGAUUAGAUAAAAGAACCGUGGAAAAGAUAUUUCGUGAUGGAAUGAUGAGCUCUGAUGGUAGUAUAGAGAUACUUAAUAUAAAACACUGCAAUGACACUUCAAUGCAAUCUCAAUUAGAGCUUUUCAAUAAGCAAAUUGAAAUGACCAAAUUGUACAGAGGGGAUGCGAAUGUUCGUUUUGCUUGGCUUGCUAUUUCUGAAACAGAAUUAUCUAGCUUGAUGAUGUAUGGAAUUGGGCAUUGUGCAGUUUCCUCAAUCAAAUCCAUGUAUGGCACUGGUGUUCACCUCACAGCUGUCAAUUGCUCGAAUGUCAGUGCAAAUAUUGAUGACAAUGGAGUGCAGCAUCUGGUAUUUUGCCGUGUAAUAUUGGGAAACUUGGAACUUCUUCACCCUGGAAGCAGACAAUUCCAUCCAAGUAGCAAGGACUUUGACAGUGGAGUGGACAACCUUACAAAACCAACAUAUUACGUUGUAUGGAGAAUGAAUAUGAACACCCACAUCUAUCCAGAGUCCGUUGUAAGCUUUAAGGCUGCUCCC
Molecule: unclassified non-coding RNA, 759 nt
Filed under: Hevea brasiliensis (rubber tree)
Lineage: Eukaryota; Viridiplantae; Streptophyta; Magnoliopsida; Malpighiales; Euphorbiaceae
Source: RNAcentral